Molecule: long non-coding RNA, 1489 nt
Organism: Brassica napus (rape)
Lineage: Eukaryota; Viridiplantae; Streptophyta; Magnoliopsida; Brassicales; Brassicaceae
Exons: 7
Source: RefSeq, a predicted model, not a curated record
CUAUUUUUCUUAUUCUCCAUCUCUGCCCCAGAAACAUAAAAAAACCCAAACACGUGAUGAUUCCACUUCGUCUUCUCCGAUUUCCUCUAUCCAAUCUCAUUUACUAAACUUAUCUGCAUCAAUCAAUUGUGCUCUUCAAUACCUUCUUUAAGAAAUCGUUUCGCAUCCCUUUCUUUCUCCUUCUUUGUAAACCAUAUUCUUCAUAUGUUGUCAUAAGUUGCAUCCAUUCAAGGAAGUCACCGAAAAAAGGAUCGUUGGUUGUACGGCUGUGCCUAGACACAAGGCGUGAUCGACAACAAAAUUCACGAGUUUGAGGUUUCAAAGGCACAAUUCAUCACCAUCCUUAGGAGGAGUCCUUUAUUAUAUCAGGGAAUGCUUAUCGCUUCAGACUGUCUAACUUCUAGGAAAUCAAUUACUCCCUGACAUAUUUUAUUGAUACAUGAGUAUACUGAUAUGCAGGUUCAAUACAUAUUGCACCGUGAGUUUACAAUUUUUUGAAUAUAAGUUCGUGACUAAUUGGAUUAUCAUGAGAGCAUCUAAAUAUCCAAGAUGAGAUUCUUUCUCAUGUUACUUUUUCUUCUUCAAUUUUUCUGGUUCCAUGGACAAUUCUAUAAAAGAUUUUGAAGAUCUUACAAAUUUCAGAAGGGAGGAGGAUCGUAUGUGUGACUUCAGGCGGAACUACGGUUCGGUUGGAGCAACGGCUCGGUUGGAGCAACGAUGGGUAAGAGUGUGCGGCCGGCGAGAAAAUGAUUGUCUAACUCCAUGUCAUGAAUCUUUCUCUAUCUUUUUGGAAAGAACAUGCACCGUAGCUUCUGGAUGUGAUCAUGAGUUCUGACCUAAGCACCAUAAAUCAUAAACACCACAGGCCACACCAGGGUCAUACACGUGCCCUCUUUCCCUCUCUCUCAACGACAUUGUCUCUUUCACCGAACUUUCCAAUACAACAACAAGAAGACCAGCAACGUCAUCAAAAACAGAAGCUUAUGUGUCUUCUACUCUAUAUAAGUUAGAGGAGCAGAGAGUUGGUGUACCUGUUAAGAGUUGGGCUAUAUGAGCAGAGCCGGCCCUGGGCUAAAGCCCAUAAAGCCAGGGCUUUAGGCGCCAAUAUUUGGAUAUAUUUUAGGGGCACCAGAUAUUGAACAAAUAUGUCUCACUAGCCCAGUGGUUAAGUUUUGUUCAUAUUUCCUUCCUGCGUCCAUCAACAGUUAGAGCCUUGAUUCUUCUUUUUUUUUUUUUUUUCUUUUUGACAAUAACUUAAAUCUGACAGAUUUAGAUUCCUUUAUUGAUAAUCUUAGUUUCCAUGUUUAUAUAAUUAUAUAAUAAGAUCAUAUAUAGUAGUCAUUAUAAAAUAAAACAAAUCAACUAAAAAAAUCUUAUUUCCUUUUCUAAACUCAUGUUUUUUUCUUCUACUAGUUAUCUUCUUUUUCACUUAAUUAUUUUUUGUAUCUUUAAAAACUAAGAAUAAAGAUGAUAUUUAUUUUUGGAUUCA